UACCAGCUCUCCGAGUUGUAGGGAUGAUUAUUGGGCUUAAAGCGUCCGUAGCCGGCUUGGCAAGUCUCCUGUUAAAUUCAGCGACCUAAUCGUUGAGCCGCGGGAGAUACUACUAGGCUAGGAGGCGGGAGAGGUCGACGGUACUUUCGGGGUAGGGGUGAAAUCCUAUAAUCCCGGGAGGACCACCAGUGGCGAAGGCUGUCGACUAGAACGCGCUCGACGGUGAGGGACGAAAGCUGGGGGAGCGAACCGGAUUAGAUACCCGGGUAGUCCCAGCUGUAAACGAUGCGGGCUAGGUGUUGGGGUGGCUACGGGCCACUUCAGUGCCGCAGGGAAGUCAUUAAGCCCGCCGCCUGGGGAGUACGGCCGCAAGGCUGAAACUUAAAGGAAUUGGCGGGGAGCACCACAAGGCGUGAAGCUUGCGGUUC
RNAcentral lists this ribosomal RNA (428 nucleotides) under uncultured archaeon. RNAcentral's name for it is "bacterial SSU rRNA". It matches the Rfam family "Archaeal small subunit ribosomal RNA", at positions 474 to 903 of the family's 1478-position model. The record is from RNAcentral.